This 640-nucleotide ribosomal RNA is filed under the name Orthopyxis sp. 1 AFC-2016. RNAcentral's name for it is "partial 16S ribosomal RNA". It matches the Rfam family "Bacterial large subunit ribosomal RNA", at positions 1807 to 2632 of the family's 2925-position model. The record is from RNAcentral. Lineage: Eukaryota; Metazoa; Cnidaria; Hydrozoa; Leptothecata; Campanulariidae.
CCAAAAACAUAGCCCCAGAUAAAAUCUGAGGUGUAACCUGCCCAAUGGUUUUUAAUAAAAAGAAUUAAACCUCUUAAAUAAAACUUAAAGGACGCGGUAACCUUGACCGUGAUAAUGUAGCAUAAUCACUCGCCAUUUAAUUGAUGGAUAGUAUGAAUGGUUGAACGAAUAUUCCACUGUCUUAAAAAGAAUCAAAUAAAAUUAAAAUAAUAGUCAAGAUGCUAUUUAAAAUUGUAAGACGAAAAGACCCUAUAGAGCUUAACUAUAGUCUUUCUUACCUGUAUCAAAACAAUACUUUCUAAGUAAGAAAGAUUGGUAGUUUAGUUGGGGCGACUACCUUCUAAAAACAACGAAGGCAAGCAAAGUUAAUAUAAAACUUAUUAUAUAAAAAAAACUUUUAAUAAUUACAAAAGUAGGCUAUAAUGACCCGUUAAUAUUUAAUAAAAGAGUUAACGAUCAAUUAAUAAAAGCUACCUUAGGGAUAACAGGAUAAUUUCAUUUUAGAGUUCUCAUCGAAAAUGAAGUUUGUCACCUCUAUGUUGAAUUAAGAUAUCCUGGUAAUGCAGCAGUUACCAAAGGUAGGUCUGUUCGACCUUUAAAAUCUUACAUGAUUUGAGUUCAUUCCGUCGCAAGACAGGAA